RNAcentral lists this ribosomal RNA (497 nucleotides) under uncultured bacterium. RNAcentral's name for it is "partial 16S ribosomal RNA". It matches the Rfam family "Bacterial small subunit ribosomal RNA", at positions 28 to 507 of the family's 1533-position model. The record is from RNAcentral.
GAUGAACGCUGGCGGCGUGCCUAAUACAUGCAAGUCGAGCGAACAGACGAGGAGCUUGCUCCUCUGACGUUAGCGGCGGACGGGUGAGUAACACGUGGAUAACCUACCUAUAAGACUGGGAUAACUUCGGGAAACCGGAGCUAAUACCGGAUAAUAUAUUGAACCGCAUGGUUCAAUAGUGAAAGACGGUUUUGCUGUCACUUAUAGAUGGAUCCGCGCCGCAUUAGCUAGUUGGUAAGGUAACGGCUUACCAAGGCAACGAUGCGUAGCCGACCUGAGAGGGUGAUCGGCCACACUGGAGCUGAGACGCGGUCCAGACUCCUACGGGAGGCAGCAGAAGGGAAUCUUCCGCAACGGGCGAAAGCCUGACGGAGCAACGCCGCGUGAGUGAUGGAGGUCUUCGGAUCGUAAAACUCUGUUAUUAGGGAAGAACAAAUGUGUAAGUAACUAUGCACGUCUUGACGGUACCUAAUCAGAAAGCCACGGCUAACUACGUG